Molecule: ribosomal RNA, 411 nt
Filed under: Acanthamoeba sp. AcHu/7/2007/T4
Lineage: Eukaryota; Discosea; Longamoebia; Acanthamoebidae
Description: SSU rRNA
Rfam family: Eukaryotic small subunit ribosomal RNA
Source: RNAcentral
AAAAUUAGAGUGUUCAAAGCAGGCAGAUCCAAUUUUCUGCCACCGAAUACAUUAGCAUGGGAUAAUGGAAUAGGACCCUGUCCUCCUAUUUUCAGUUGGUUUUGGCAGCGCGAGGACUAGGGUAAUGAUUAAUAGGGAUAGUUGGGGGCAUUAAUAUUUAAUUGUCAGAGGUGAAAUUCUUGGAUUUAUGAAAGAUUAACUUCUGCGAAAGCAUCUGCCAAGGAUGUUUUCAUUAAUCAAGAACGAAAGUUAGGGGAUCGAAGACGAUCAGAUACCGUCGUAGUCUUAACCAUAAACGAUGCCGACCAGCGAUUAGGAGACGUUGAAUACAAAACACCACCAUCGGUGCGGUCAUCCUUGGCGUCGGUUUCGGCCGGCGCGGGGGUGGCUUAGCCCGGUGGCACCGGUGAA